Sinocyclocheilus grahami is the source of this 118-nucleotide long non-coding RNA. RefSeq lists it as uncharacterized. Lineage: Eukaryota; Metazoa; Chordata; Actinopteri; Cypriniformes; Cyprinidae. The record is from RefSeq and is a predicted model, not a curated record. The transcript is spliced from 2 exons.
CAGAACCCUGCAGAAUCAAACACACUGAAGAUACUGAAGAACUAACAGAGUUAAAUGAAGAAAAUGAGGAGAAUGAAGAACUGAGUGAAGUUGAGGAGAGAAAUCAUGUUAAAACUGG